AUUUGUAUCUUGUUGUCAGAGCAUCUAGGAGGGAUGUUACAGCAACUACAACAACUACCAAUCUAGUUGAAGGCUCUUUCCUCUUAACUGUGGAUGGAGUUUGUUCUUUUUUCACAUUCAUACCAGAGGAGGACUCACCAUGUGCCUAAAAGGAUUUAUGAGUAACCAUGUCAACAUGACACUUCUGAAGACCUGUGUCAUCCUUCUCCUUCUGACUGUGUUGUUCUUUGUACUAAGAAACAUGGACCUGCUGCAGAGGCUUUCUCAGCCACCUCCCCCAUCCUGCGGGCUGCAGUCUUCCUCUCCUUUCCUGU
Labrus mixtus (cuckoo wrasse) is the source of this 314-nucleotide long non-coding RNA. RefSeq lists it as uncharacterized. NCBI's taxonomy places the organism in Eukaryota, Metazoa, Chordata, Actinopteri, Labriformes, Labridae. The record is from RefSeq and is a predicted model, not a curated record. The transcript is spliced from 3 exons.